This 440-nucleotide ribosomal RNA is filed under the name uncultured bacterium. RNAcentral's name for it is "partial 16S ribosomal RNA". It matches the Rfam family "Bacterial small subunit ribosomal RNA", at positions 338 to 795 of the family's 1533-position model. The record is from RNAcentral.
CCUACGGGAGGCAGCAGUGGGGAAUAUUGCACAAUGGGGGAAACCCUGAUGCAGCGACGCCGCGUGAGUGAAGAAGUCAUUCGUUAUGUAAAGCUCUAUCUGCAGGGAAGAAAAUGACGGUACCUGAGUAAGAAGCCCCGGCUAACUACGUGCCAGCAGCCGCGGGAAUACGGAGGGGGCCAGCGUUAUCCGGAUUUACUGGGUGUAAAGGGAGCGUAGACGGCAGUGCAAGUCUGUAGUGAAAGUCGGGGGCUCAACCCCCGGACUGCUCUGGAAACUGUACGGCUGGAGUACAGGAGAGGUAAGUGGAAUUCCUAGUGUAGCGGUGAAAUGCGUAGAUAUUAGGAGGAACACCGGUGGCGAAGGCGGCUUACUGGACUGUAACUGACGUUGAGGCUCGAAAGCGUGGGGAGCAAACAGGAUUAGAUACCCUAGUAGUC